AUUGUAACGCAUUUUUCUUGUGCUUUGGUACUUUGAUUAGGAUAACAGUACUUGUUUUGCCUUCCUAUAGCCUUUUGUGUAACCUGUGGUAUAGGUAGUUUAGUGUUGAUUGCUACACUAUUACUGCUGUUGUGGUGCUGGGGCACUGAUCCAAUUCUAUUUUAGCCUCUUGUUGUGUUAGUUUUCUUAGGUGAGUGGUUCUGAUUGUUCUAGGAUUCUUGGCUGCAUUGGUUUGGAUUAUAUCUUAAGAUGUCUACUGUUGACGUGUUUUUUGAUGAUCCCUCUGAGGACCUGCUAGAGGAAUUUACUAAAGAGCAGCUGUUUAAAAUAGCAGAAUAUUACGAAAUUGAGAUUUCUAGUAUUGAUAAACGACUUGGAGCUAACGUUGUUAGAUAUUGAAGGCAAGAAGACUACCUCUCCUGUUGCAUUUGAGGUAGGUAGGCAUAUUCGCAUGGUUCCUUCGUUUUCAGAAAAAGAGGUAGAGGGGUACUUUUCUCAUUUUGAGAGAGUGGCCACCUCUUUAAAUUGGCCGAAGGAUGUAUGGACUUUGUUGCUGCAAUGUGUCCUUACUGGUAAGGCCCAAGAGGCAUAUUCAACUUUAUCAUUUGAAGACAGUGUUGAUUAUGAUUUAGUCUGGGCUGCCAUCUUGCGUACAUAUGAACUGGUACCUGAAGCAUACCGAAAGAAGUUCCGACGCUAUGCUAAGCAGGAUAAACACACUUAUGUGGAGUUUUCAAGGGAGAAGGGGCAGUUGUUUGAUAGGUGGUGUCGAUCUCAGAAGGUUGAGACUAAGGAACAACUCCGUGGGAUGAUGGUUCUGGAGGAGUUUAAGAAUGGUCUGCCUGAGGCCAUUACCACUUAUCUCAAUGAACAAAAAGUAAUCAAGGUGUCAGAAGCUGCCGUCCUUGCUGAUGAAUUUGUGUUAACCCAUAAGAUUGUGUUUGGGGAAAAACAUUGUAAUGAGGGCAAAGACAGACAUCAAGGGGGUUUUCGUUCCUUCAAGCCCACUUCCACUGGCCCGGUGCCAUCUGUGCCACUGGCUGAUAAGUCUAGCCCUGUGGGUAAAUACCCUGAUGGAGUCUGUUUUUACUGCAAAAAGACAGGACAUAGGAUCUCCAAUUGCUUUAGUGUCAGAAAAAACAGCAGGGUGCUAAAUCUGUUGGCCUGGUAGCUCCUUUGACUUCUUGUGACGUUGCUGAACCUGAAUUCCAUGUCUCACCAUCCAAAUGCUCCAGUACUCAAAAGAAUUACACUCCAUUUCUCAUGAAUGGCUGUGUGUCAAUACCUGGCCAGGGUGGAAAUGCACCAGUCUGUAUCCUCAGAGACACAGGUGCUGCUCAGUCCUUCUUAUAGGAGUUUUACCCCUGUCUGAACAGACCUCCACUGGCACUAGUGUUUUAAUCCGAGGGUUUGAGAUGGGCUUUGUUGACGUGCCCUUACAUCGCAUUGAUUUAAUUUCUGACCUAGUGACUGGCAGUGUCGUAGUGGGAGUGCAACCGUCCCUCCCCGUGCCUGGUGUUACAUUUAUUUUUGGGAAUGAUCUGGCAGGUGGAAAUGUUUGGAGACAAUCUGACACUCCACCUGAAGUUGUCUCUGUGCCAUUGGUGUGCGAGGGUCCAGAUGAGUUGGAACAGAAAUAUCCUGAUGUUUUCCCUACAUGUGCUGUCACUCGUGCUAUGGCAAAGCAACGUGAUGCUAGCGACUUGCAGGAAGAGUGUUUUGACGACCUUUGUGACACGUUUUUUGGGCACCCUGAAAUUUCUGACUCACAGUCUGUCUUUCUCCCCACGGUCAAGACAUCUGAAGACCUUGUUCCAGAGAAGGGUGAUACUGUGAAAACCACCAUUUGUGACAUGCCACUGUCUCGAGCACAAUUAAUCUCUGCUCAGAAGGCUGAUCCAACCCUUGUGUCUCUGUUUGAGUCUGUGUCUCCUGAUCAGGAGAUUGAUGCUGUGCCCCAAGGAUAUUUCCUUAGGGAU
Molecule: long non-coding RNA, 1979 nt
Organism: Anguilla rostrata (American eel)
Lineage: Eukaryota; Metazoa; Chordata; Actinopteri; Anguilliformes; Anguillidae
Exons: 2
Source: RefSeq, a predicted model, not a curated record